RNAcentral lists this ribosomal RNA (459 nucleotides) under uncultured Lactobacillus sp. Its description in RNAcentral is "bacterial SSU rRNA". It matches the Rfam family "Bacterial small subunit ribosomal RNA", at positions 341 to 792 of the family's 1533-position model. The record is from RNAcentral. RNAcentral also lists the same sequence under 1 other name. Lineage: Bacteria; Bacillati; Bacillota; Bacilli; Lactobacillales; Lactobacillaceae.
ACGGGAGGCAGCAGUAGGGAAUCUUCCACAAUGGACGAAAGUCUGAUGGAGCAACGCCGCGUGAGUGAAGAAGGGUUUCGGCUCGUAAAGCUCUGUUGGUAGUGAAGAAAGAUAGAGGUAGUAACUGGCCUUUAUUUGACGGUAAUUACUUAGAAAGUCACGGCUAACUACGUGCCAGCAGCCGCGGUAAUACGUAGGUGGCAAGCGUUGUCCGGAUUUAUUGGGCGUAAAGCGAGUGCAGGCGGUUCAAUAAGUCUGAUGUGAAAGCCUUCGGCUCAACCGGAGAAUUGCAUCAGAAACUGUUGAACUUGAGUGCAGAAGAGGAGAGUGGAACUCCAUGUGUAGCGGUGGAAUGCGUAGAUAUAUGGAAGAACACCAGUGGCGAAGGCGGCUCUCUGGUCUGCAACUGACGCUGAGGCUCGAAAGCAUGGGUAGCGAACAGGAUUAGAUACCCUGGUA